AAAGCAGGCUAAAAGCAGAAGUAAUGAAGAUGGUGGUAACUCAAAAGCAAAAGGCAGAGUAAUCACCCCUUCACCACCCCCUUCCCUACCUCCUGUCACCUUUUAUUCUUCCAAGUCCACAUAGGAUGCUGACUUGGCACCUAUACAAUUUUGAGAUACAGAAACUUCUGCUACUUUUGGGUUGGCUAUUUAUGUAAAUACAUUGCUUAAAUGUAAAGGAAAAAUCAUUUUCCAAUUGGUACCUUAAAUAAAAUAGUUGUUUGUUUUUAUUUUAAGAUUUAUUCUCUAUCUAUGACUUAUGCUAUUCAGUGAAGGGCCAGGGUGUUUCUCAUGAUGCUGUGCAUUACCAAAAGCACUGUGUGUUGGACCAGGUUAACUUUUUUACCUCCUAGGAUCUCUGUCAUAUUCAGCAGCAGACAGGGAAGACAAUCAUACUGAAAGGGGUCAAUGAGGGAUCAAAGAAGGUAAAGCAUGGGGAUUGUAUUUGUAGAAAAGAGAUGUACAGAAGCUAUAAAGCUAGCUGCCACUGGAAAAACUAAAUACUCUUCUAGUAUAAAAUACUAGUAUUCAUUUUGGUAAAUUUAAUCUUACUACUCCAAUUAAUGGACUACAAAUGAUAGCUUAGACAAAUACUCUUAUGAUUAAGACUACUAAAUAUUUUUUUAGCAGUGUACCAAAACCUUAGAAGACAGAGUUUAUGGGGUGUGAUAUGAAAGGGUCCCUUAUAUUUUUGCCUUAUUCAAAUAGCUCACCAAUAUUUUGGACUGACUAGUCAUAGGAGGAGGCUAAAGAUUAUGAAUUGGAAAUCUAUUUCCAUUCAUUUAGGGCGGUGGGGAUGGAGAUUUGUUGAGCCCCUUUCACAUGGGAGAAAAGGUUGUCAUCUUGGGUCCCUUCUUAGCUUUUCCAACUAAGCUUUCUUCAUUCCCCUUACUUUCUUUAUUUUUAAUAUUAGUGGAGAAAAAGUGGAAUAUUUUGUUAAAAGAGUUGGCAUU
Solanum dulcamara is the source of this 992-nucleotide long non-coding RNA. RefSeq lists it as uncharacterized. NCBI's taxonomy places the organism in Eukaryota, Viridiplantae, Streptophyta, Magnoliopsida, Solanales, Solanaceae. The transcript has 3 exons. The record is from RefSeq and is a predicted model, not a curated record.